Molecule: ribosomal RNA, 404 nt
Filed under: Verrucomicrobiota bacterium
Lineage: Bacteria; Pseudomonadati; Verrucomicrobiota
Description: Verrucomicrobia bacterium partial 16S ribosomal RNA
Rfam family: Bacterial small subunit ribosomal RNA
Source: RNAcentral
UGGGGAAUAUUGCACAAUGGGGGAAACCCUGAUGCAGCGACGCCGCGUGAGCGAUGAAGGCUUUCGAGUCGUAAAGCUCUGUCCUAUGGGAAGAUAAUGACGGUACCAUAGAAGAAAGCCCCGGCUAAUUACGUGCCAGCAGCCGCGGUAAUACGUAAGGGGCGAGCGUUGUCCGGAAUUAUUGGGCGUAAAGAGGGCGUAGGCGGCAAAUUAAGUCAGAUGUGAAAACUAAGGGCUCAACCCAUAGAUUGCAUCUGAAACUGAUAUGCUUGAGUCAAGGAGAGGAAAGUGGAAUUCCUAGUGUAGCGGUGGAAUGCGUAGAUAUUAGGAGGAAUACCGGUGGCGAAGGCGACUUUCUGGACUUGAACUGACGCUGAGGCACGAAAGCGUGGGGAGCAAACAGG